AUGUUCAUGUAAUGCUUCUCUUUUUGAUCAUGUUGUUUAUCCAAUCCAGAUUGAUAGAACAUUUGUAGGCUGUGCUAGUGCAUUGCAUCGAUGUGAUGUACUGCCGGAGCAUUACAGAAAGAGGCUGCCUGAGAUAUGUGAACCGUUUCUUCCUGGUAUUCGUGAAAUUGUCAAUGGUGACAUACCCUAUGCAGAAGUUGUGGCAAAGAUUCUGACCCCUGACAGGGUUCAAGAUUGUAAUCCCUUCGAGGGGUUGUCGGAUGAUGUGGUAAAGAAGAUAAAGGAUGUUGCAGCAAACAAUGCAG
This is a long non-coding RNA of Panicum virgatum (switchgrass), 305 nucleotides long. RefSeq lists it as uncharacterized. The record is from RefSeq and is a predicted model, not a curated record. NCBI's taxonomy places the organism in Eukaryota, Viridiplantae, Streptophyta, Magnoliopsida, Poales, Poaceae. The transcript has 2 exons.